This is a non-coding RNA of Trichomycterus rosablanca, 564 nucleotides long. NCBI's taxonomy places the organism in Eukaryota, Metazoa, Chordata, Actinopteri, Siluriformes, Trichomycteridae. The record is from the annotation of a RefSeq genome assembly.
UCCUCUACAGCUGAGGGAGGUUUUUGUACUAGUAAAUAACACUGUGUGAAUGGAAGGCUUUGACUUUUUGUUCUGUUUCUCCUGUACAGCCGGUCCCACGGUGAAGCCGUCCGUGUCUCUGCUCCCUCCCUCCUCUCUGCAGCUGUCUGAGGGAUCGGCCUCGCUGCUCUGCCUGCUGUCUGGUUACUCUCCACAGGGGGCGCUGGUGAGCUGGACGGUGGACGGCACAGUGCUGCAGGACGGGGUGGUGACCGGAGCAGAAGAACUGAAAGGGGGCAGUUGGAGGCGUGGCAGCACCCUGACCCUCAGCAAAGCACAGUGGGAAAAGGGGGAGGAGUUUGGCUGUAAGGUCUCUCACGGUGGCGUCGAUCAUCCCGUCGUAUUCAGAAAGAACCAGUGUGAAGGCUAGCAGCUCCCAGAUAGAACUGAACAUGGAGACACUUCCACAUGCUUCUACAAUGGAGUUUCAGUUCUACACAAUGCUGCAUUUCUGUCUUUCCUCUGUUCAGUGUCCUGUUGCUCUUCCUGUAGUUUUGCUGUGCUGAAAUAAAGCUUGAUUUUGGA